RNAcentral lists this ribosomal RNA (530 nucleotides) under uncultured bacterium. RNAcentral's name for it is "bacterial SSU rRNA". It matches the Rfam family "Bacterial small subunit ribosomal RNA", at positions 355 to 895 of the family's 1533-position model. The record is from RNAcentral.
UGGGGAAUAUUGCACAAUGGGCGCAAGCCUGAUGCAGCGACGCCGCGUGAGGGAUGGAGGCCUUCGGGUUGUAAACCUCUUUUAUCGGGGAGCAAGCGUGAGUGAGUUUACCCGUUGAAUAAGCACCGGCUAACUACGUGCCAACAGCCGCGGUAAUACGUAGGGUGCAAGCGUUAUCCGGAAUUAUUGGGCGUAAAGGGCUCGUAGGCGGUUCGUCGCGUCCGGUGUGAAAGUCCAUCGCUUAACGGUGGAUCCGCGCCGGGUACGGGCGGGCUUGAGUGCGGUAGGGGAGACUGGAAUUCCCGGUGUAACGGUGGAAUGUGUAGAUAUCGGGAAGAACACCAAUGGCGAAGGCAGGUCUCUGGGCCGUUACUGACGCUGAGGAGCGAAAGCGUGGGGAGCGAACAGGAUUAGAUACCCUGGUAGUCCACGCCGUAAACGGUGGAUGCUGGAUGUGGGGCCCGUUCCACGGGUUCCGUGUCGGAGCUAACGCGUUAAGCAUCCCGCCUGGGGAGUACGGCCGCAAGGCU